RNAcentral lists this ribosomal RNA (741 nucleotides) under Physarella oblonga. RNAcentral describes it as "SSU rRNA". It matches the Rfam family "Eukaryotic small subunit ribosomal RNA", at positions 938 to 1673 of the family's 1831-position model. Lineage: Eukaryota; Evosea; Eumycetozoa; Physariida; Physaraceae. The record is from RNAcentral.
AAAGGCGAAAGCAGUCAUCAAGGGCAUACCUGUCGAUCAAGAGCGAAAGUCAAGGGCUCGAAGACGAUCAGAUACCGUCGUAGUCUUGACUAUAAACGAUACAGACCAGGGAUAGGACUCUGUCCAUCUCGACUUCUCCUGAAUCUUGAAGAAAUUACCAGUCUUUGGGUUCCGGGGGGAGUAUGGUCGCAAGGCUGAAACUUAAAGGAAUUGACGGAAGGGCACACAAAGAGUGGAACCUGCGGCUUAAUUUGACUCAACACGGGAAAACUCACCAGGUCCAGAUACACGUAUGAAAGUCAAGCUGAAAGACUUUACUCAAUGAUGUAAGUGGUGGUGCAUGGUCGUUCGUAGUUCGUGGAUUGAUUUGUCUGGUCUAUUCCGAUAACGAGCGAGACCCCAACGUUCCUAAUAGGGGCGACAGCCCGGCUUGCCGCAAGGCUUGCCAGCAGUUGCCUAAGAUUCACUUCUUAGACGUAUCAGGGCCGAUAAGGUCCUUGAAAUGGGUUAAUAACAGGUCAGUCAUGCCCUUAGAUGUUCUGGGCCGCACGCGCGUUACAAUGGCACGUUGCAAAACGUGCCUUCAGUGGUUUUCCCUCGGCCGAAAGGCCUUGGUAACCGCUAACCCUUUGCUAUGACUGGGAUAGAUCAUUGCAAUUAUUGGUCUCUAACGAGGAAUUUUUAGUAAUCGCAGGUCAUUAACCUGCGAUGAAUCUGUCCCUGCCCUUUGUACACACCGCC